This is an RNA transcript of Raphanus sativus (radish), 1672 nucleotides long. RefSeq lists it as uncharacterized. The transcript has 6 exons. Lineage: Eukaryota; Viridiplantae; Streptophyta; Magnoliopsida; Brassicales; Brassicaceae. The record is from RefSeq and is a predicted model, not a curated record.
UAUUGUUGCAUGAGCUCGAGAAGCCAAUUUACCAAGUGAAUUACUUAUAUAAAGCACACUAAGUUAUAUACUAAGAUGAAACAAAACACACUAAAAAUGUCUCUUCCAUUUACGAUUCUCCUACCAUUGAUCUUCUCAAUAUUGUCACAUUGUUUCGUAGACCUCGCACACUCCAAAGUCGCUCGACUUGGUAUUUCCCCAACAACGAGACCGACAGAAACAGUAGAUGCCUCUUCUGAUAAUUCUGAUCUCAAAUUCUUCUACUACGAUCAGAAUCUCGACCAUUUUACUUUCACCCCCGAAAGUUACCAGACGUUUCAACAAAGAUACAUCAUCAAUGCCAAGCACUGGGCUGGUUCCAAAGCCGACGCACCAAUAUUAGCUUUUCUUGGAGGGGAAGCGUCAAUAGAGGCUGAUUUGUACGAUGUCGAUUUUUUCCAAGAGAAUGGUCCACGUUUAAAAGCCCUUCUCGUCUACAUAGAGCAUAGGUAUUAUGGGAAGUCUAUGCCGCUUGGAUCGGCUGAAGAAGCACUAAAGAAUGCCAGUACGUUGGGGUAUUUGAACGCAGCACAAGCUCUGGCAGACUAUGCGGCGAUUCUCGUGCACGUUAAGGAGAAAUAUUCUGCGAAACAUAGCCCAAUUAUCGUCGUCGGGGCAUCCUACGGUGGAAUGUUAGCGGCGUGGUUCAGGCUAAAAUAUCCACACAUAGCACUUGGGGCAUUAGCAUCUUCAGCUCCUCUUCUCUACUUCGAAGAUACUCGUCCUAAAUUUGGUUAUUAUCAUAUCAUAACCAAAGUUUUCAAGGAAACGAGUGAGAGAUGUUAUAAAACAAUCCGUAAAUCUUGGGAAGCGAUUGAUAGAGUUGCUGCCAAAUCCAACGGUCUCUUGAUCCUAAGCAAAAAAUUCAAAACUUGCGCGUACGUAAGAAUGAUAGUGUUUCCUUCUCAAUGCUUAUAUAUAUGUAAGCUACACUUUAUAGUACUUAAGUUGUUCUGUAACAAAAAAAAUUUCAGUCCAUUGAGCCGUAGCUUCGAUAUCAAAGACUUUUUGGAUUCAAUAUACGCAGAAUCAGUUCAAUUCAACGGGAAUCCUUAUGAUAGGGUGGCUACACUAUGCAACGCAAUGGACAACCCAAAAAACCGUAAAAAUUAUAUACUUGACAGGAUUUUUGCAGGUGUUGUUGCCUACUUUGGCAACCAGUCUUGCUAUGAUACUGAUUUGGUUAUACAGCCCCCAAACAAUGCAAUUGCAUGGAGUUGGCAGGCAUGUAAUCUUUGGGUUAUAAAGCAUACACAUAAAUUAAUGCUAUUAUUCUAAUCAGUAUAUGGAAGAGUUAACUUAUAUUAACGAUAUAUCAAUCAAUAGGGCUGCAGCGAAAUAGUGAUGCCAAUAGGACAUGACAAACAGGACACGAUGUUCCAAACGCUUCCGUUUAAUAUGACCAGUUUUAUUGACGACUGUAAAUCCAAAUAUGGUGUUUCCCCGCGGCCGCAUUGGAUCACGACUUAUUUCGGCGUUCAAGUAGUUAACUAAUUUUAAAGUCAUGUUAUAAUUUAUAAAAAGGAUGUCAAGUUAAUUCUCCGAAGAUUUGGGAGCAACAUCAUUUUCUCUAAUGGAUUAGCAGAUCCUUACAGCGUCGGCGGUGUUUUGGAGAAUGUUUCAGGCAGUGUAG